This 383-nucleotide ribosomal RNA is filed under the name uncultured bacterium. RNAcentral's name for it is "bacterial SSU rRNA". It matches the Rfam family "Bacterial small subunit ribosomal RNA", at positions 28 to 412 of the family's 1533-position model. The record is from RNAcentral.
GACGAACGCUGGCGGCGUGCUUAACACAUGCAAGUCGAGCGGUAAGGCCCUUUCGGGGGUACACGAGCGGCGAACGGGUGAGUAACACGUGGGUGACCUGCCCUCAGCUCUGGGAUAAGCCUGGGAAACCGAGUCUAAUACUGGAUAUGACUCCAUGACGCAUGUUGUGGGGUGGAAAGCCUUGUGCGGCUGAGGAUGGGCCCGCGGCCUAUCAGCUUGUUGGUGGGGUGAUGGCCUACCAAGGCGACGACGGGUAGCCGGCCUGAGAGGGCGACCGGCCACACUGGGACUGAGACACGGCCCAGACUCCUACGGGAGGCAGCAGUGGGGAAUCUUGCGCAAUGGGCGAAAGCCUGACGCAGCGACGCCGCGUGAGGGAUGAC